RNAcentral lists this ribosomal RNA (374 nucleotides) under uncultured Desulfuromonas sp. RNAcentral describes it as "bacterial SSU rRNA". It matches the Rfam family "Bacterial small subunit ribosomal RNA", at positions 1008 to 1382 of the family's 1533-position model. The record is from RNAcentral. Lineage: Bacteria; Pseudomonadati; Thermodesulfobacteriota; Desulfuromonadia; Desulfuromonadales; Desulfuromonadaceae.
AGAGAGGUCAGUUCGGCUGGAUCGGUGACAGGUGCUGCAUGGCUGUCGUCAGCUCGUGUCGUGAGAUGUUGGGUUAAGUCCGCAACGAGCGCAACCCUCGUCCUUAGUUGCCAGCAUUAAGUUGGGGCACUCUAAGGAGACUGCCGGUGUUAAACCGGAGGAAGGCGGGGAUGACGUCAAGUCCUCAUGGCCCUUAUGUCCAGGGCUACACACGUGCUACAAUGGCCGGUACAAAGGGUAGCAAGACCGCGAGGUGGAGCCAAUCCCAAAAAGCCGGUCUCAGUUCGGAUUGGAGUCUGCAACUCGACUCCAUGAAGUUGGAAUCGCUAGUAAUCGUGGAUCAGCAUGCCACGGUGAAUACGUUCCCGGGCCUU